Vicugna pacos (alpaca) is the source of this 580-nucleotide non-coding RNA. Lineage: Eukaryota; Metazoa; Chordata; Mammalia; Artiodactyla; Camelidae. The record is from RefSeq and is a predicted model, not a curated record.
UACCUCUCCCUCCCCCCACAAAGAGAUUGAGGUCAGCUUACAUGACUUAUAAGAUAUGCAACUGUCCUAAUUUCUCUGCUCUCCUGGGGUACUUUCUGGAAGCUGGCCUGGAACCCUAUGCUGUUUACUCACUUGCUCUAGCUCAGUAGCUGCCAAACUUCCUUGUGCAUAUGACAGAGAAAGUCCAUUCAGGAUGCCCCCUGCUCAGGCUCUUGUCUUCCACCAGGAUGUACUUGAACAGCAUCUCCAGCCUGUCCUCUGUUUCUCCAUGAUAAACCUCAUGCACUGCGAUCUCUGUGCCCUUAAGCUGUCAAUGAAGCCUCAUACCUUCCUGUAUAGUGGAUUAUGCAGAACUGGCAGAACUCUCAAGCCACUACUGAUCUGACUGAAGGAGAUGCUGAAGAGGCUCUGGACAACAGGGUUACCUAUUUCUAUAGAUGAGCUACAAAUGCAUAAAUAAAAGACCCAGAGUAAUCUGUUCAUCCAUGCAUGUAUAUCCUGGGUGCUAUACUGUACAGUCAUCAUUUUUAUAAAGAACAAUGACAGGUUUAACCUUUAAAUGACCACUUAUUUGUAAAAA